UACGUAGGGUGCAAGCGUUGUCCGGAAUUAUUGGGCGUAAAGAGCGUGUAGGCGGCCCGAUUAGUCCGCUGUGAAAGUCCAGGGCUCAACCCUGGAAUGCCGGUGGAUACUGUCGGGCUAGAGUCCGGAAGGGGCGAGUGGAAUUCCUGGUGUAGCGGUGAAAUGCGUAGAUAUGUGGAAGAACACCUGUGGCGAAAGCGGUUUUCUAGCUUACACCUGACGCUGAGGCGCGAGAGCAAGGGGAGCAAACAGG
This 253-nucleotide ribosomal RNA is filed under the name uncultured prokaryote. RNAcentral describes it as "partial 16S ribosomal RNA". It matches the Rfam family "Bacterial small subunit ribosomal RNA", at positions 524 to 776 of the family's 1533-position model. The record is from RNAcentral.